GGCUACGACCAUACCACCCUGAAUGUGUGUGAUCUCGGAAGCUAAGCAGGGUCGGGCCUGGUUAGUACUUGAAUGGAAGAAGUAGCAU
RNAcentral lists this ribosomal RNA (88 nucleotides) under Echinops telfairi (small Madagascar hedgehog). Lineage: Eukaryota; Metazoa; Chordata; Mammalia; Afrosoricida; Tenrecidae. The record is from RNAcentral.